Molecule: long non-coding RNA, 539 nt
Filed under: Physcomitrium patens
Lineage: Eukaryota; Viridiplantae; Streptophyta; Bryopsida; Funariales; Funariaceae
Description: long non-coding RNA (PPAT_LNC013966)
Source: RNAcentral
CCUUAGUAAUAGUUUGAAAAAAGUCUUUGUUUUCUCCUUCACCACCUUCAAUAUAAGAUCUAAUUUCUUUCAUGUACAAAGACUUGGCCCUUCUAUUGAAGUCUUCUAUUGCUCUUUCAUUUCUUUUUUUUUAAAUUAGUCCCUUGCAUUGAUAAAGAUGACAUAGAAGCCAAAGUAGAAGCUUUCUUAAGCCAUACUACAACUCUUUUAGCUUGUAUUUUUUGUUGUCUUCCUAAAAUAACCACUAUUUUUUUCAACUUCUUUAAAUUAUUGGUACAACCACUCUCUGUAGACUCAUCUAUAAGAAGCAUGAAAAGCUUAUCUUCUAAAUCAUCAUCAACACCAUUUAAAAACAACUCUACCUUUAUAGCAUCCAAUGACCGCCUCUUUGAGGAUGAAAUUUGAUCAAAUCUCCUUUCAAAUUCUUCGAAGAACUCAUAAAGAUCCAUAUGCUUACUUAGUUGUAAUUCUAUUCAAUCCAAAAACUUUUUUUUGAUAAUCCUAUUCUCAUCUCCAUCAAUAAAUUCUUCUUUCAAAAG